GAUUAAGUUAUUAAGGGCGUACGGUGGAUGCCUUGGCACUAGAAGCCGAUGAAGGACGUUACUAACGACGAUAUGCUUUGGGGAGCUGUAAGUAAGCUUUGAUCCAGAGAUUUCCGAAUGGGGAAACCCAGCAUGAGUUAUGUCAUGUUAUCGAUAUGUGAAUACAUAGCAUAUCAGAAGGCACACCCGGAGAACUGAAACAUCUUAGUACCCGGAGGAAGAGAAAGAAAAUUCGAUUCCCUUAGUAGCGGCGAGCGAAACGGGAAGAGCCCAAACCAACAAGCUUGCUUGUUGGGGUUGUAGGACACUCUGUACGGAGUUACAAAGGACGACAUUAGACGAAUCAUCUGGAAAGAUGAAUCAAAGAAGGUAAUAAUCCUGUAGUCGAAAAUGUUGUCUCUCUUGAGUGGAUCCUGAGUACGACGGAGCACGUGAAAUUCCGUCGGAAUCUGGGAGGACCAUCUCCUAAGGCUAAAUACUCUCUAGUGACCGAUAGUGAACCAGUACCGUGAGGGAAAGGUGAAAAGCACCCCGGAAGG
Molecule: ribosomal RNA, 539 nt
Filed under: Staphylococcus aureus
Lineage: Bacteria; Bacillati; Bacillota; Bacilli; Caryophanales; Staphylococcaceae
Description: partial 23S ribosomal RNA
Rfam family: Bacterial large subunit ribosomal RNA
Source: RNAcentral